GGAUGUGGCUCAGGGGUAAAGCACUCUCUAGCACACGUGAGGUCCUGGGUUCCAUUCCCAGUACAGCCA
Molecule: transfer RNA, 69 nt
Filed under: Marmota monax (woodchuck)
Lineage: Eukaryota; Metazoa; Chordata; Mammalia; Rodentia; Sciuridae
Description: tRNA.Ala
Source: RNAcentral